AUGGGCGCAAGCCUGACGCAGCAACGCCGCGUGAGGGAUGAAGGCCUUCUGGGUUGUAAACCUCUUUUAUCAAGGAAGAAGAGCUGAUGGCACUUGCUGAAUAAGCCACGGCUAAUUCCGUGCCAGCAGCCGCGGUAAUAAUA
Molecule: ribosomal RNA, 143 nt
Filed under: uncultured Synechococcus sp.
Lineage: Bacteria; Bacillati; Cyanobacteriota; Cyanophyceae; Synechococcales; Synechococcaceae
Description: partial 16S ribosomal RNA
Rfam family: Bacterial small subunit ribosomal RNA
Source: RNAcentral